This 441-nucleotide ribosomal RNA is filed under the name uncultured bacterium. Its description in RNAcentral is "partial 16S ribosomal RNA". It matches the Rfam family "Bacterial small subunit ribosomal RNA", at positions 338 to 795 of the family's 1533-position model. The record is from RNAcentral.
CCUACGGGUGGCAGCAGUGGGGAAUAUUGCGCAAUGGGGGCAACCCUGACGCAGCAACGCCGCGUGAUUGAAGAAGGCCUUCGGGUUGUAAAGAUCUUUAAUCAGGGACGAAAAUUGACGGUACCUUCAAAGGAAGCACCGGCUAACUCCGUGCCAGCAGCCGCGGUAAUACGGAGGGUGCGAGCGUUAAUCGGAAUUACUGGGCGUAAAGCGCACGUAGGCUGUAUGACAAGUCAAGGGUGAAAUGCCACGGCUCAACCGUGGAACUGCCUUUGAAACUGUCAAACUGGAGUAUGUGAGAGGGCGGCGGAAUUCCUGGUGUAGGAGUGAAAUCCGUAGAUAUCAGGAGGAACAUCAGUGGCGAAGGCGGCCGCCUGGCACAAAACUGACGCUGAGGUGCGAAAGCGUGGGUAGCAAACAGGAUUAGAUACCCCGGUAGUC